RNAcentral lists this long non-coding RNA (1163 nucleotides) under Olea europaea subsp. europaea. Lineage: Eukaryota; Viridiplantae; Streptophyta; Magnoliopsida; Lamiales; Oleaceae. The record is from RNAcentral.
CUCGUCCAUUCUCGAACGAAGAAACCCUAGAUGUUGACUUCUAAUCUUCUUCCCUCUCUUCCACAGAUUUGCAAAUUAGUCAUGUCUCUAUCUAAGAAAUUCGAAUUUUCAGAAUACCCUUUUGCUCUUCUUCUGCAUUGUUGGUUGACGAUCUUCUUUUUGUAUUGUUAGCCGUUCAAUUUUCUCUAUUCUGUUUGUUCAAACUUGUGUGAAUGCAAAAUGAAUAUAUUUACCACUCAAAACCCAGUACUUUUAGUUUUAAUUUUUAAAUUAUCAAAAAUUAAUUUUUGCAUGUGUGUGCAUAAUUAUUAGUAGGGAUUUGAAUGGAUUAUUUUCGGAGGUUGAAUUGAAAUCUAUUGGAUGAAGAAGAAGUCGGACUGUUGAGGUGUGUGAGCUUAGGUGCCAAAAUUGAGUGAAGGGCUUUCUUCUUUUGGUAGAAUGCUGCUGAACAAAUCACAUUCUCCUUCUUCACGGCAGAAUCCAGUUAAUACUUAUUAUUAAGAGCUUUCGAACGUUUCAUAAUUAUUUUUGAUAAAUCUUUUUCUGUGCUUUUUUCAGGAAGUAAAAAGUCCUCCAACCUCUACCGAUGGUAUGACUUUUCUUCGUGUUAUGUAACUUAUGUUUGAGAAUUUGCUGAUGUGAAAAUUUAUCAUGUUUCGAAUAAUGAAUUAACUAUGAUUAUACCACUGAAGAUGAUGAAGACAGCGACGAAGAGCGAUAGAUGAGGAGCUCAAACGCGACUGUUUGCAAACGAGUUUGGCAGAAACUCACACAAUCGAAGUAACCCAUUAUAGAAAGAAUAUUUUUCUUUUGUUUGGACCUUGUUUCUAAUUUGGGUUUUAUAAAUCUUUUUUGAAUGUGGGUCUGAAAUUAUUAUUUAUUUUUUUAAUCUUUUGUCAGAUUUUUUAUUUGUCUUCAUUUGGAGUUUGUCCAUGUUUUGGAGGGAGUUGUGCAGGUCUGAUUGUGUGUGGAAAGCUCUAUGCAAAGAUGGUUGUUAUGCACGUGAUUUUGAUAAAGAUUCUUCAGCUUUCCAAGAUCAAAAUUUCGAGCUUGACCAGUGAAUGAAUUCCAAUUUAAAGGUCUUUUAUCUAUUUCUAUAAUUUGGGUUUUGUAUUAUGUUUGAGCACUUUUACUUUCUUUAUUUAGUAUAUAUCUUGUUCUUU